GCGCUGGUCGGUGACGGCAACGAGGUCGCUCACAUCGACCUGAUCAUCGGACCGCGUGGCUCGGCCGCCGAGUCGGCGUUC
Molecule: transfer RNA, 81 nt
Filed under: Pleomorphomonas sp. SM30
Lineage: Bacteria; Pseudomonadati; Pseudomonadota; Alphaproteobacteria; Hyphomicrobiales; Pleomorphomonadaceae
Also listed under: 1 other name
Description: tRNA-Val
Source: RNAcentral